Long non-coding RNA from Mizuhopecten yessoensis (Yesso scallop), 677 nucleotides. RefSeq lists it as uncharacterized. The record is from RefSeq and is a predicted model, not a curated record. NCBI's taxonomy places the organism in Eukaryota, Metazoa, Mollusca, Bivalvia, Pectinida, Pectinidae. The transcript has 4 exons.
UGAAAAAUUGAAACAAGAUACAACUUAUAUACAAAACCUAUGUCAAGGUAAGAACGUAGGGAUGACGACCAAGAAAUUAUAGUUCGACAUUUAGAACGGAAAUGAUGAUAUCGUAACAGCAGCUUGAGUCUACACAUUUAUUACUGAAGUUUUCCAAAUGGAUGGUCAAGCACUGCUUCGUUGUCAACCCGAUUAUAGGACACGAGGAUUGACCAGCGUCUCUGGUCACUGUCGUUACCAGCACUUGUGUGCAGGAGGUUCGAGUGAAAGAAGAGAGCAUCACCUAUACAAGAAAAUUUUAGAUAAUAUUUGAAUAAAGAAACAAGUUUAUUUCUUAUAUCACAGCAAUGGGCACCAAUAACAAGUUAUCAUGUUCCAUUUCGACAUAGACUGGAGGGCAUUUCUGUUGGAUAGCAUGUACUCUCUCCAGAUCCGCACCAGUCUGCCCAGCUAUCAGAAGAUGGUCAAUCCGACCGCAUUUGUGGGAGCCGGGCAGUAUCUUAAAGCAAGUUUGAAUACAAACUCUAAUGUUAAAGAAACCAGAACAGAUUGUUCUUUGAAAGGAAAAGAAAUCAGAUCGGCUAAAAGAACUAAUUUGUUCUCUUAACAAGGGGAUAUCAAUUAAUAGUAUUUAAGGAUAACAUACAUUUUAAGAUUCGCAAUAAGGAAAAUAUAAC